Molecule: ribosomal RNA, 253 nt
Filed under: uncultured prokaryote
Description: partial 16S ribosomal RNA
Rfam family: Bacterial small subunit ribosomal RNA
Source: RNAcentral
UACGGGGGGUGCAAGCGUUAUUCGGAAUUAUUGGGCGUAAAGGGCGCGCAGGCGGCCUCUUAAGUCAGAUGUGAAAGCCCGGGGCUUAACCCCGGAGGUGCAUUUGAAACUAAGGGGCUUGAGUAUGGGAGAGGGAAGUGGAAUUCCUGGUGUAGCGGUGAAAUGCGUAGAUAUCAGGAGGAACACCGGUGGCGAAGGCGACUUCCUGGACCAAUACUGACGCUGAGGCGCGAAGGCGUGGGGAGCAAACAGG